AUGCUCACUUUGGUAGCACAAAUACUAAAAUUAGAACGAUACAGAGAAGAUUAGCAAUGGUCCCUGCACAAGGAUGACAUGCAAAUUAAUGAAGUGUUUCAUACUUAA
Molecule: small nuclear RNA, 108 nt
Organism: Molossus molossus (Pallas's mastiff bat)
Lineage: Eukaryota; Metazoa; Chordata; Mammalia; Chiroptera; Molossidae
Source: RefSeq, a predicted model, not a curated record